Molecule: long non-coding RNA, 1751 nt
Organism: Numida meleagris (helmeted guineafowl)
Lineage: Eukaryota; Metazoa; Chordata; Aves; Galliformes; Numididae
Source: Ensembl
GAGCCUCCAGGAGGGCAGGUACGGGCCCUGUACUUCAGCUGUGCCACCUGGGGGAAAGGAAAUGAUGCCUUCUGAUUGAGAAAACCUGAUGGGUAAAUGAUCAAUAAAUGAGGUGAUAAUCAGAGGACCUCAAAGAGAACUGGGUUAUAACAUCAGGAUUUUUAGCUAAGAAGCUGUGUUGAGCCAGAAGAUGUGAGCCUGCUGUCUCUGGAGGGAUGGAGUGCUGGUGCUACCUUGCUGUUGUGACCUGCUUCUCUUGGGAAGAGUCUGUGAGAUGGAAAUGAAAAACCCUGAAAUUUGGCACUGUGGAGGGAGCCCCAGAAUACCAAAUCUGUGUUUGACGGAUCAGCUAGAGACUGACCUCAAUAGCAACAAUCCUCGUGGUCUGGGCAGCUUUCCAGCUAAUGAGGGUAUUUCAAGAGGAGGGAGGGACCUGGGGCUGAGUUUCCCCUGCGGCUGCAUCGCAUCCCCUCAGUACACUGAGAACCAAGGUUGGGAACUUAUGCUGUUCUGGACCCAUCUACCCAUCUGAAGUCCAGACUUCAGAAGUUUGAGGACUUAGAGCUGGGUGUCCUGAGGACCUGGAGUUGAUUUGGACAGAACUUUUAUCUCUCUAGUAAACUUCAUGCUUUUGUAGUUGUAAUGUAUGCCCAAGUUUUGAGUCAACUUGUGAUUGGUUACUGCUACUCUGUGUUAUCACGACUUCAAUCGAGUUUAAAUUACAUAAAUGUGACGCUCGUGUAACCUGUGCUUUUAAAAGAAGGAAAAGGGGUGAUUUCUUGCCCCUGGUUCCAGCUUGUUGAUGUGGCUCCCGAAACUGUUGGUUUGUUGUGGGGUUUUUUUGUUUGUUUUUGCUUGUUUGUUUGUUUUCAGCGAUGAGACCAAUCGUAGAGCAGUGUCUUCUAUUGCAAACGCUGACCCUGGAAAGCAAGGCUCCCUGCGGUGUCCCCAGCUGCGCUGGGGUGGUGCUGGCAGUUUGAGCUCACAGCACCUUCUGACUCCGUAUCUUUGAAAAGGUGUUGGAACUUGUCCUGUCGUUGAAGUCAAUGGAUAUUUUCCAAACAGGAGCAGGGUCUUCAGCUGUCUUUCACAACUCCAUAACUGAUUAGGGUACCUCAGCUAAGCAUCAGGUUUAAUCCCAAACUGUUUUUAAUGUUGUGCAGCUUUCCUGUUUCAAAUUCAUAGCAAAUUAAUUCUUUCUGGUUGCUACGGGAAAUUUAUUUCCCUGUUGAGAAAGAAAAAAGUAUACCCAAAAAGUCUUGCUCUUUGGAGUUACUUUCUUCAGUUCUUUUGCUUGCCUAUUACAAUGGUUUUUGCCCUUAAACUGGUUUGUCCUUUUGAACUCCAUUCAAUCCAGAUAUAGCUUCUGCUCCUGCAGUUUAUAACUGGAACUUGCAUCUAAUUAAAAUUGCUUCUGCUUAUGAAAUAGAAGCAAACAGAGGGAUGGAAGUAAUAAUUCUCUAACAAAAUACCUGUUCACUCCAGGUAUAUUUUGUUCACUUAUUUUAUUGCAAACUGUGUUACAGGAACAACACAUGCUCAAUAGUCACAGCACAUUCUCACUUUGGAUAAUUAUUAAUUUUUAAUUCAGAGUCAACACUGGUGAAUUUGCAAUCUUCUGAAAGGCUCGUUUGCAGAAGUAUGUGUUGUAGGAGCCAAUUUUGUAGGCAGAUUUGGUUUUAAAUGGUUUCUCUGGCUUGUUUCAGUUUACAAGCUCAUUGUCUGUAAUAAACUAAAACAAAAUGUGUUCA